AGCACAUUGCAUUUUAGACAUUACUUUCCCUGCAUUCACAUUCACAAAAAGAACAAUUAUUAAUGUUUGUUUGUCUGAGUUAUAUUAUACUAGGAGUGCAAAAUGACGAAAACGCCCUCACGUUUAACACCAUCUCAUGCUACUCUCAACGGUAAGUUCAAAACCAGUUAACUUUUGAACCCUAUGAAUAACAUUUAUCUGAGUUAUUAUACUAUAAGUGUAAAAAGACGAAAAUGCCCUCCCAUUUAACACUAUCUCUCAUGCUAGUCUCAAUGGUAAGU
Molecule: long non-coding RNA, 281 nt
Organism: Ipomoea nil (Japanese morning glory)
Lineage: Eukaryota; Viridiplantae; Streptophyta; Magnoliopsida; Solanales; Convolvulaceae
Exons: 2
Source: RefSeq, a predicted model, not a curated record